Long non-coding RNA from Brassica rapa (field mustard), 6223 nucleotides. RefSeq lists it as uncharacterized. Lineage: Eukaryota; Viridiplantae; Streptophyta; Magnoliopsida; Brassicales; Brassicaceae. The record is from RefSeq and is a predicted model, not a curated record.
UAUAUGCAUUCUUUUAGAUUUUUUUUUAUCAAAGGGGUGCAUUUUUAAAAGAGAAAUUCUCUAGGAUAUACCUUUUUUUUUGUCACAAAUAUAGACCUUAAAAAUAAAAAUGACCAAAAUAGACUUAGAUGUUUUAUUAAAAGAAGUAAAUAUACACUUAUACCCCUAGGAUUAAUUAAUCUAGACAUUAGAGUUUAGAGUUAAGGGGGGGGAGUUUAAGGUUAAGGGUUUAAGGUGUAAGGUUUAAAAUUUAGGAUUUAGAGUUUAGAGUUGAGGAGUGGGGGGUUUUAGGGAUAGGAUUUAAAUUUUUUAAAAUUGAACAUUUUCAAAAUAGAAAAUGCUAUUUUGGUCAUUUUAGUUUUUGAGCUCUAUUUUUGUGACAAAAAACAUAAAAUGGUAUAUUUGAGAGAAUUGCCAUUUUUAAAAUAUAUGUUCUAAAAACAACUAGUUUAGGAAAGUCAUCAUUUUGUAGAGAAAUAUUGUAAAUUUGAAAUUUUAAUUUAUAAAUUAGGAUAACAAGAGUUUUUAUUGAUAGGUGAACAUUCUUUUAGAAUUUUUGAUCAAUAGGUUGUAUCUUUUAAAUAAGUUUUCUUAAAAACUGCUCUUUUAGGAAAGUUAUCAUUUUCGUAGAGAAAUAUUGUAGAUUUGGGAUUGUAAUUUAGAAAUCAGGAUAACAUGAGUUUUUAUUGAUAGAUAGACAUUCUUUUAGAAUUUUUCAUCGAUAGGUUUUGUUUUUAAUUUUUUUUUCUAAAAACUGAUAUUUUGGGAAAGUUAUCAAUUUUGUAGACAAAUAUUGUAGAUUUGAUAUUCUGAUUUAGAAAUUAGGAUAACAAGAGGUUUUGUUGAUAGACGGAACUUCUUUUAAAAUUUUUUAUCAACAUGAUGCAUUUUCAAAAUAAAUUUUCUAAAACUGCUAUUUUAGGAAAAUUAUCAUUUUUGUUGAGAAAUGUUGUAGAUUUAGGAUUCUGAUUUAGAAUUUAGGAAAACAAAAGUUUUUGUUGAUGUAUGGGCAUUUGUUUAUAAUUUUAAAUCAACGAGAUGCAUUUUUAAAAUAAAUUUUAUAAAAACAACUAUUUUAGGAAAGUCAUCAUUUUGUAGAGAAAUAUUGUAAAUUUGAGAUUUUAAUUUAUAAAUUAGGAUAACAAGAGUUUUUAUUCAUAGAUGGACAUUCUAUUAGAACUUUUGAUUAAUAGAUUGCAUCUUUUAAAUAAGUUUUCUUAAAAACAACUAUUUUCGGAAAGUUAUCAUUUUUGUAGAGAAAUAUUGUAGAUUUGGGAUUGUAAUUUAGAAAUCAGGAUAACAUGUUUUUUUAUUGAUAGAUGGACUUUUUUUUAAAAAUUUUGAUCAAUAAGUUCUGUUUUUAAAUAAAUUUUCUAAAAACUGCAAUUUUGGAAAAGUUUUCAUUUUCGUAGACAAAUAUUAUAGAUUUGGUAUUCUGAAAUAGAAAUUAGGAUAACAAGAGGUUUUGUUGAUUGACGGAAGUUUUUUUAAAUGUUUUUAACAACAUAAUGCAUUUUCAAAGUAAAUUUUCUAAAACUGCUAUUUUAGGAAAGUUAUCAUUUUUGUUGAGAAAUAUUGUAGAUUUAGGUUUCUCAUUUAAAAUUUAGGAAAUCAAAAGUAUUUGUUGAUAUAUGGGCAUUCUUUUAAAAUUUUUAAUCAACGAGAUGCAUUUUUAAAAUAAAUUUUAUAAAAACUGCUAUUUUGAGAAAAUUAUCAUUUUGUAGAGAAAUACUGUAAAUUUGGGAUUGUAAUUUAUAAAUUAUGAUAAAAGAGUUUUUAUUGAUAGAUGAACAUUCUUUUAGAAUUUUUGAUCAAUAAGUACUGUUUUUAAAUAAAUUUUCUAAAAACUGCUAUUUUGUGAAAGUUAUCAUUUUUGUAGACAAAUAUUAUAGAUUUGGUAUUCUGAUAUAUAAAUUAGGAUAACAAAAGGUUUUGUUGAUUGACGGAAGUUCUUUUAGAAUUAUUUUAUCAACAUGAUGCAUUUUCAAAAUAAAUUUUCUAAAAUUGCUAUUUUAGGAAAAUUAUCAUUUUUGUUAAGAAAUAUUGUAUAUUUAAGAUUCUGAUUUAGAAUUUAGGAAAACAAAAGUUUUUGUUGAUAUAUGGGCAUUCUUUUUGAAUUUUAAAUCAACGAGAUGCAUUUUAAAAAUAAAUUUUAUAAAAACAACUAUUUUAGGAAAGUAAUAAUUUUGUAGAGAAAUAUUGUAGAUUUGGGAUUGCAAUUUAUAAAUUAGGAUAAGAAGACUUUUUAUUGAUAUAUAGACAUUCUUUUAGAAUUUUUGGUUAAUAGGUUGCUUCUUUUAAAUAAGUUUUUUAAAAACUGCUAUUAUAGGAAAGUUAUCAUUUUUGUUGAGAAAUAUUGUAGCUUUGGGAUUAUGAUUUAGAAAUCAGGAUAACAUGAAAUUUAUUGAUAGCUGAACAUUCUUUUAGAAUUUUUGAUCAAUAGGUUCUGUUUUUAAAUAAAUCUUCUAAGAACUGUUAUUUUGGGAAAGUUAUCAUUUUUGUAGAUAUAUAUUAUAGAUUUGGUAUUCUGAUUUAGAAAUUAGGAGAACAAGAGGUUUUGUUGAUUGAUGGAAGUUCUUUUAGAAUUUUUUAUCAACAUAAUGCAUUUUCAAAAUAAAUUUUCUAAAACUGCUAUUUUAGGAAAGUUAUCAUUUUUGUAGAGAAAUAUUGUAGAUUUAGGAUUCUCAUUAGGAAUUUUGGAAAUCAAAAGUUUUUUUUUUUGAUAUAUGGCCAUUCUUUUAGAAUUGUUAAUCAACAUGAUGCAUUUUUAAAUUAAAUUUUAUAAAAACAACUAUCUUAGGAGAGUCAUCAUUUUGUAGACAGAUAUUGUAAAUUUGGGAUUGUAAUUUAUAAAUUAGGAUAACAAGAGGUUUUGUUGAUUGACGGAAGUUAUUUUAGAAUUUUUGAUCAAUAGGUUCUGUUUUUAAAUAAAUCUUCUAAAAACUGUUAUUUGGGAAAGUUAUCAUUUUUGUAGAUAUAUAUUAUAGAUUUGGUAUUCUGAUUUAGAAAUUAGGAUAACAUGAGGUUUUGUUGAUUGAUGGAAGUUCUUUUAGAAUUUUUUAUCAACAUAAUGCAUUUUCAAAAUAAAUUUUCUAAAACUGCUAUUUUAGGAAAGUUAUCAUUUUUGUUAAGAAAUAUUGUAGAUUUAGGAUUCUCAUUAGGAAUUUUGGAAAUCAAAUGUUUUUGUUGACAUAUGGGCAUUCUUUUAGAAUUUUUAAUCAACGAGAUGCAUUUUUAAAAUAAUUUUUUAUAAAAGCAACUAUUUUAGAAAAUGCAUUAUUUUGUAGAGAAAUAUUGUAAAUUUGGGACUGUAAUUUAUAAAUUAGGAUAACAAGAGUUUUAUUGAUAGAUGGACAUUCUUUAAAAAAAAAUUAUGAGUAAGUUCUGUUUUUAAAUAAAUUUUAUAAAAACUGCUAUUUUGGGAAAGUUAUCAUUUUUGUAGACAAUUAUUAUAGAUUUGGUAUUUUGAUAUAGAAAUUAGGAUAACAAGAGGUUUUGUUGAUUAACGGAAGUUCUUUUAGAAUUUUUUGAUCAAUAGGUUCUGUUUUUAAAUACAUUUUCUAACAACUGCUAUUUUGGAAAAAUUAUCAUUUUUAUAGACAAAUAUUAUAGAUUUGGUAUUCUGAUUUAGAAAUUAGGAUAACAAGGGGUUUUGUUGAUUGAUGGAAGUUCUUUUAGAAUUUUUUAUCAACAUGAUGCAUUUUCAAAAUAAAUUUUCUAAAACUGAUAUUUUAGAAAAGUUAUCAUUUUUGUAGAGAAAUAUUGUAGAUUUAGGAUUCUCAUUUAGAAUUUAGGAAAACAAAAGUUUUUGUCGAUAUAUGGGCAUUCUUUUAGAAUUUUUAAUCUACGGGAUGCAUUUUUUAAAUAAAUUUUAGAAAAACAACUAUUUUAGGAAAUUCAUCAUUUUGUAGACAGAUAUUGUAGAUUUAUGAUUGUAAUUUAUAAAUUAGGAUAACAUGAGUUUUUAUUGAUAGAUGGAUAUUCUUUUAGAACUUUUGAUCAAUAUGUUCUGUUUUUAAAUAAAUUUUCUAAAAACCGAUAUUUUGGGAAAGUUAUCAUUUUUGUAGACAAAUUUUAUAGAUUUGGUAUUCUUAUUUAGAAAUUAAGAUAACAAGAGGUUUUGUUGAUUGAUGGAAGUUCUUUUAGAUUUUUUACUUAUAUAAUAUGAUUUCACAAAAGCAAUCACAAUUUUAGUGUUGACUUUUAAGAGAUAUUAAAAAUAGAACCUAAAACUAUUUUUUUAUGAUAAGCAUAUUUUGAUCAAAUAAUUAAAAAAUCUUUUUAAAUAGCAUAUACUUUUAAUGAGGUGUAUCUAUUAUAUUUUAGCAUUACUAAAAAUUAUUUUUCUUAAUAUUUAUUUUCUUUUUAAUUUUAUAUUUUCUUUAUGUUUGUGGAAAUUAAUAUACCCAUAAUCAAAAUACCCAAGCAAAUCUGAAUUCUCAUUUUAAAGAUUAUUUAAAAUAAUUUUCAGUUUACCUUUCAAUAAUUGUUACAAUAUAUUUUUAUAUAUACGCAUGAGACUUCAUAAUAUUAUCGUUAUAUUCAUCUAUGAAAUUUUCAAUCAUAUACUUCAGUUUAUUUUUAUUUAAUUCUAAGCACAAUAUAUAUUACGAGUUAUACAUAUAUAAUCGUACUAAAAUAUAUUUACAUAUUUAGGAAAAUAAUCAAUCUAAAUACAAAUAAGAAUUUAAUCAAAAUUAACUAUAUUUAUAAUAAAAUAAUAUAGUUGAAUUCAGAUAAACAGAUGUAGUCCAAUAUACCCAAGUGAUAAACAAAUCAAUUAUUGAUCCAAAAACAUCCAAACCGACUAUAUAUAACAUAUCUAAAAUCAUAUGUCUAACUAAAAUAAUAUAAUAUUAUUAAUAUAAAUUAUAGAUAUAAAUUAUAAAUUGAUUUAAAACCAAAAUUAAAUAUCAAGUAAUUAUAAUAUAUUAAUUUUAUAAAGAUUUAUAUCGAUAUAUGAGCACGGAAGAACCACCUACUAUAUUCUUAAGCAAGGAGCGACAUUGUCAAAGAAAAAAAAUAUUUUUGGCAAAAAAUGUAUUUAUAAACAGAUAUAGACAUUAGCGCACAAAAAAACAAUUUCUUUUAUCUAAUAUUUUAAAAGCAUUAUAAUGAUUAUUCUAUGUGUUUAUUUUUAGUUGUUGUUUUAAGUAUAUGCACACAGAUUAAAAAAAUAUUUGAUUUUACAUAUUUUCAAAAAGAAAAACAUUAUUAUCUAUACACAUAAUUAUAUUUCAACUAAUAUAAAAAUAACUGAAAAAUAUUGUUAAUUAUUUUUGCAUUGAAAUUCUAAAAAACAUUUAUUUCAAAACGAAGAUUUUUCUUUACAAUGAUAAUUAAAGUAUAAUUUUUGCUUAGUCGAAACCACAAGGUUAACUUCUUGAAUUUAAAGACGAUAACAAACGGAUAACCAUUAAACGUUUAAGAAGAUUCAUUGAACUAAAACAGUUUCCCGGAUUAGUUAGUAACAAGAGGAUCUACUUUGCUAUCUGGUCCAUCGUAAAUCACGCACUCCCACGAUCAUGAACCGUACAAACUUCUAGACUUUGUCAACCUCGAUGUUUCAAUUUCCCAUAAACUACGGUCGACCUUUUUGAAUACAACUCUCACGUGCACAUGAAAUCGAAGUUUACGGCGCACAUUCUUCUAGAAACAAAUCAAAUACGCACAAGUCAGAGAUAUAGCUCUUGAUAGAAUUAAAAGUACACUAACGCGAGGAAAAUAUAAAAUAUUUUUUUUUACCAAAAAAAAACGGUUUAUAUAUAAAAUAAUAUUUUUACCAAAAAAAAUAUAUAAAAUAAUAUUGGAGAAAAGAGACGGUAUCGCAUUGGGCAGGAGUGUUUUUUUUUUGUUACGCGUGACAAGCGAGUCAGGGACCGAGUACACCGGCCACGGUCACCGUCAAAUGAUACCUAACAAGUGGGUUCCAUAGUCAUGUUGAGUGUUGGUUUAUAUCACGACCGUCCAUUGAGUUUCUUUUGUUGACCGAUCAUCUUGCAUUAUGGUAGUGUGAACGAGAAACUAGAUUUUAUUAAUAUCACGCGUUUGAGAAGUGAAAUGAAAUUGAAAUAUCUUUGAAAAUUUUACAUGUAAGAACAUCUGUAAAUUUAACAAUAUAAUAAAUUAAGAAGAAAAAAUUCACAUUUAAAAAUAUGUAUACUUUUCAUACAUAAAUAUACUUUUUAUUAAAAUGAUCAAGUAAAGUAAAAAGAUUGGAUAU